UACAGAGGUCUCAAGCGUUGCUCGGAUUCAUUGGGCGUAAAGGGUGCGUAGGCGGCGCGGUAAGUCGGGUGUGAAAUCUUGGAGCUUAACUCCGAAACUGCAUUCGAUACUGCCGUGCUUGAGGACUGGAGAGGAGACUGGAAUUUACGGUGUAGCGGUGAAAUGCGUAGAUAUCGUAAGGAAGACCAGUGGCGAAGGCGGGUCUCUGGACAGUUCCUGACGCUGAGGCACGAAGGUCAGGGGAGCAAACGGG
This 253-nucleotide ribosomal RNA is filed under the name uncultured bacterium. RNAcentral's name for it is "partial 16S ribosomal RNA". It matches the Rfam family "Bacterial small subunit ribosomal RNA", at positions 524 to 776 of the family's 1533-position model. The record is from RNAcentral.